CUUGGAAAAUGGAGCCGAAGAAGGACGUGAUUACCUGCGAAAAGUCUGGGGGAGCUGGAAGUAAGCUGCGAUCCCGGAAUGUCCGAAUGGGGAAACCUAACAUGAUUUAUCUCAUGUUAUCUAUAAGUGAAUACAUAGCUUAUAAGAAGGGAACCUAGGGAACUGAAACAUCUUAGUACCUAGAGGAAAAGAAAAUAAUAAUGAUUCUGUUAGUAGUGGCGAGCGAACACGGAACAGGCCAAACCGUUCUACGGGGCGGGGUUGUAGGACUUUUGUUAGAGUUACAAAGUUAUUGUAUAGUAGAAGCUAUUGGGAAGUAGCGGCAUAGAGGGUGAUACCCCCGUAUACGAAAUGCAAUAACCUCGAGAAAGUAUCCUGAGUACGGCGAAACACGUGAAAUUUUGUCGGAAUCUGCCAAGACCACUUGGUAAGCCUAAAUACUACCAUUUUACCGAUAGUGAACCAGUACCGUGAGGGAAAGGUGAAAAGCACCCCGAGAGGGGAGUGAAAGAGAUCCUGAAACCAUAUGCUUACAAGAAGGUAGAGCCCGUUAAUGGGUGAUACCGUGCUUUUUGUAGAAAGAGCCGGCGAGUUACUAUUGCAUGCGAGGUUAAGUCGAUAUAGAUGGAGCCGUAGUGAAAGCGAGCCUUAAUAGGGCGUUUAGUAUGCAGUAGUAGACACGAAACCGGGUGAUCUAGCCAUGAGCAGGUUGAAGUUAGGGUAAAACCUAAUGGAGGACCGAACCAGUAUUCGUUGAAAAGACUUUGGAUGACUUGUGGCUAGCGGUGAAAUUCCAAUCGAACCCGGAGAUAGCUAGUUCUCCCCGAUAUAUCUUUAAGGAUAGCGUUAUGUGAAUUGUUGUGGAGGUAGAGCACUGAAUCUAUGAUGGCUGCACCUAGCGGUACUGAUUAGAAUUAAACUCCGAAUGCCAUAACUUGUGCAUAGCAGUCAGAACAUGGGUGAUAAGGUCCAUGCUCGUGAGGGAAACAGCCCAGAUCGUCAGCUAAGGUCCCUAAGUGUAAACUAAGUGUGUAAGGAUGUGGAACUGCACAGACAGCUAGGAUGUUGGCUUAGAAGCAGCCAUCAUUUAAAGAGUGCGUAACAGCUCACUAGUCGAGUGAUUCUGCGCCGAAAAUGUACCGGGGCUUAAGUUUACCACCGAAGCUACGGAUUGUACGCAAGUACAGUGGUAGGGGAGCGUUCCAAGGGUGAUGAAGUCAGACCGUAAGGACUGGUGGAGCGCUUGGAAGUGAUUAUGCCGGCAUGAGUAACGUUUGGAAGUGAGAAUCUUCCAUGCCGUUUGACCAAGGUUUCCUGGGCAAGGUUCGUCCACCCAGGGUUAGUCAGGACCUAAGACGAGGCCGACAGGCGUAGUCGAUGGACAACAGGUUGAUAUUCCUGUACCAGUUAAUUAGUGAUGGAGUGACGGAGAAGGAUAGUAUAUCCCGGGUGCUGGUUGUCCCGGGCUAAGCACAAAGACGGCAACAUUGGCAAAUCCGUGUUGUAUUAACGUUGAAGUGUGAUGGGGAGUGAACGGUUCGCCUAGUAACGAAGUAUAUGACUCCACGCUUCCAAGAAAAGCUUCUAACAUUAAUAAUUAACUGCCUGUACCUAGAACGAACACACGUGGUCAAGGAGAAAAUCCUAAGGCAAGCGAGAUAACUGUAGCUAAGGAACUCUGCAAAAUAACUCCGUAACUUCGGAAGAAGGAGUGCUCAUCUUUGAUGAGCCGCAGUGAAGAGGGAGGGGCAACUGUUUAACAAAAACACAGCUCUCUGCUAAGUCGCAAGACGAUGUAUAGGGGGUGACACCUGCCCAGUGCCGGAAGGUUAAGAGGAGAAGUCAGCGCAAGCGAAGCUUUGAAUUGAAGCCCCGGUGAACGGCGGCCGUAACUAUAACGGUCCUAAGGUAGCGAAAUUCCUUGUCAGGUAAAUUCUGACCCGCACGAAAGGUGUAAUGAUCCCUUCGCUGUCUCGGCUGCAGACUCGGUGAAAUUUUAGUACCGGUGAAGAUGCCGGUUACCCGCAACUAGACGGAAAGACCCCGUGGA
This 2050-nucleotide ribosomal RNA is filed under the name Listeria monocytogenes. Its description in RNAcentral is "partial 23S ribosomal RNA". It matches the Rfam family "Bacterial large subunit ribosomal RNA", at positions 32 to 2097 of the family's 2925-position model. The record is from RNAcentral. Lineage: Bacteria; Bacillati; Bacillota; Bacilli; Caryophanales; Listeriaceae.